CCUGUACUCCCUCCGUUCCAAAAUUCUUGUCUUAGAUUUGUCUAGAUAUGGAUGUAUCAAGUCACAUUUUAGUAUUAGAUACAUUCAUAUCUAGAAAAAUCUAAGACAAAAAAUUUGAAACAGAGGGAGUAUUAA
This is a non-coding RNA of Triticum aestivum (bread wheat), 135 nucleotides long. The record is from Rfam. NCBI's taxonomy places the organism in Eukaryota, Viridiplantae, Streptophyta, Magnoliopsida, Poales, Poaceae.